UACGUAGGGGCCUAGCGUUGUCCGGAUUUAUUGGGCGUAAAGAGCGUGUAGGCGGUUCGGUAGGUCCGUUGUGAAAACUCGAGCUCAACCUCGAGACGCCGAUGGAAACCCCCGAACCUAGAGUCCGGAAGAGGAGAAUGGAAUUCCUGGUGUAGCGGUGAAAUGCGCAGAUAUCAGGAAGAACACCCGUGGCUAAGGCGGUUCUCUAGUACGGUACUGACGCUGAGACGCGAAAGCGUGGGGAGCGAACAGG
RNAcentral lists this ribosomal RNA (253 nucleotides) under uncultured bacterium. RNAcentral's name for it is "partial 16S ribosomal RNA". It matches the Rfam family "Bacterial small subunit ribosomal RNA", at positions 524 to 776 of the family's 1533-position model. The record is from RNAcentral.